CGGAACUAACAGAUUUACUUCGGUAAUGACGUUAGGAAAGCGAGCGGCGGAUGGGUGAGUAACACGUGGGGAAUCUGCCCCAUAGUCUGGGAUACCACUUGGAAACAGGUGCUAAUACCGGAUAAGAAAGCAGAUCGCAUGAUCAGCUUUUAAAAGGCGGCGUAAGCUGUCGCUAUGGGAUGGCCCCGCGGUGCAUUAGCUAGUUGGUAAGGUAAAGGCUUACCAAGGCGAUGAUGCAUAGCCGAGUUGAGAGACUGAUCGGCCACAUUGGGACUGAGACACGGCCCAAACUCCUACGGGAGGCAGCAGUAGGGGAUCUUCCACAAUGGACGCAAGUCUGAUGGAGCAACGCCGCGUGAGUGAAGAAGGUUUUCGGAUCGUAAAGCUCUGUUGUUGGUGAAGAAGGAU
RNAcentral lists this ribosomal RNA (408 nucleotides) under uncultured Lactobacillus sp. RNAcentral describes it as "bacterial SSU rRNA". It matches the Rfam family "Bacterial small subunit ribosomal RNA", at positions 67 to 453 of the family's 1533-position model. Lineage: Bacteria; Bacillati; Bacillota; Bacilli; Lactobacillales; Lactobacillaceae. The record is from RNAcentral.